AUGAACGCUGGCGGCGUGCCUAAUACCUGCAAGUCGAGCGAACAGACGAGGAGCUUGCUCCUCUGACGUUAGCGGCGGACGGGUGAGUAACACGUGGAUAACCUACCUAUAAGACUGGGAUAACUUCGGGAAACCGGAGCUAAUACCGGAUAAUAUAUUGAACCGCAUGGUUCAAUAGUGAAAGACGGUUUUGCCGUCACUUAUAGAUGGAUCCGCGCCGCAUUAGCUAGUUGGUAAGGUAACGGCUUACCAAGGCAACGAUGCGUAGCCGACCUGAGAGGGUGAUCGGCCACACUGGAACUGAGACACGGUCCAGACUCCUACGGGAGGCAGCAGUAGGGAAUCUUCCGCAAUGGGCGAAAGCCUGACGGAGCAACGCCGCGUGAGUGAUGAAGGUCUUCGGAUCGGAAAACUCUGUUAUUAGGGAAGAACAAAUGUGUAAGUAACUAUGCACGUCUUGACGGUACCUAAUCAGAAAGCCACGGCUAACUACGUG
Molecule: ribosomal RNA, 496 nt
Filed under: uncultured bacterium
Lineage: Bacteria
Description: partial 16S ribosomal RNA
Rfam family: Bacterial small subunit ribosomal RNA
Source: RNAcentral